UGGCUCUGUGGCGCAAUGGAUAGC
This 24-nucleotide non-coding RNA is filed under the name Cricetulus griseus (Chinese hamster). RNAcentral also lists the same sequence under 1 other name. The record is from RNAcentral. Lineage: Eukaryota; Metazoa; Chordata; Mammalia; Rodentia; Cricetidae.